CAAGUGUAUCUCAUUGUAGUUUGUCACUUCAAAUUUGUCAUAAUAGCAUUCAUGUCAUCAGAAUGCAAAUGGGGAAAUAAAAAAAUUGUGCUGAUUGGCAUUGCCAAUUUCUCAAACCAUUAAAAGUGGGUCUCACUCUGGUCUAUAAGCAUGACACAGGAUUGACAUUUUUUUGUAAGCAUGACAAAUGAAUGGCAAAUUCAACAAUUGUGGUUUUUACCCACCAUUUUUAUGGCCCCGCAACGAAGUCUGUAAUUUUGUCUUUCUGUAAUUCCGUCAUUCCGCAACAUACCAUUAUACGUUUUGUUCCGCUCCACUAAUUUUUGCCGAAAUUACAGGCUUUGGACUUUGAGAAAUUGUUGAAAAUCACAGUUAUAUGGACAUUUUUUUCUAAACGCCUUCAGAUAUGGGGCUGAUUUUUGGUAUGUGAGUUAACCAUAAUGAGUUACAGAUCAAGUUUACGUUUUGUUCCGCUCCACUAAUAUUUGCCGAAACUACGGGCUUUGGACUUUGAGAAAUUGUUGAAAAUAACUGUUAUACAGACUUUUUUUCUAAACACCUUCAGAUAUAGGGCUGAUUUUUGGUAUGUUAGUUAACUAUGAUAAGUAACAGAUCAAGUAUAAGUUUCGCUCCGCUCCACUAAUUUUUGCCAAAUUACGGGCUUUGGACUUUGAGAAAUUGUUGAAAAUCACAGUUAUACAGACUUUUUUUCUAAACACCUUCAGAUAUGGGGCUGAUUUUUAUACGACC
Molecule: long non-coding RNA, 750 nt
Filed under: Mytilus galloprovincialis (Mediterranean mussel)
Lineage: Eukaryota; Metazoa; Mollusca; Bivalvia; Mytilida; Mytilidae
Source: RNAcentral